Molecule: long non-coding RNA, 1277 nt
Organism: Nyctereutes procyonoides (raccoon dog)
Lineage: Eukaryota; Metazoa; Chordata; Mammalia; Carnivora; Canidae
Exons: 3
Source: RefSeq, a predicted model, not a curated record
GGGACCUUCUGGGUCCGAAAUGAGAGUAGAAAGCAGGAUCCAGGAGUCUGAAUGUGAGGGGUUCUCUUUCAAAGGAAGAGGUGAUUGCUAGAGAUGAACAGAUCAGGAGUGUCUGCUACUCUGUUUUAGUUCAUUGCUGGCAGGAAGAAGUCUGAGAAAGAAAACCAGAAGAUCUCAGGCGGCUGGAAAGACUUUCAGGAAGCCUGCUGAGAAUGUAGCCAGAGACAAAAGCAUCUCCAGCAUGACGUCAAGUGCAUCUGCUCCUAUCUCCGUUCCUAUCAAAAACGAAGCUUACCCACCAGCCUGUGCCCCCACCGUGGAAAGUCAACACUAGGACAGAAGGCUUUAUUCACCUUCCUGUGGUCUGAGAUGGAAAACGCAGUUCACCUCACGGAGUUUGGAACUGCUUGCUACAGGGAUUUACUUAUUUAUGAGACACCUGGGUGACUCAGUGGUCGAUCAUCUGCCUUUGGUUCCAGUCAUGAUCCAGGGUUCCUGGGAUCAAGUCCCACAUCAGGCUCCCUCCAGGGAGCCUGCUUUCUCCCUCUGCCUAUGUCUGCCUCUCUGUCUCUGUGUCUCUCAUGAAUAAACAAAUAAAAUCUUCCAAAAAAAAAAGUGAUAUGUGAAAUGUGAAAGAAAAAUUUGAGAAUCCAUAAAUAGGCAAAAAAAAAAUGGUGAUAUAUGAGCAAGAAAGCAGGGGGCUGUGAGCUCUAACUUCCUACAUGGGAAGGAACCAGGUAACAGUACAGACUUCCCAACACACAGCAUCAGACCUUUAAAAUGCUGAGUCUCAGUAAGAAAAGAAAAAUCCUGUCCUUCUCUGUACAAAAUUAUGUUCUCUCUACAUUUAAAAGAGACAAAAUAGUGGGGAGGGCUCCAAAAUGUCAGAAUUACCCAGUACAGCUGCUCAGUGUUAUAAUGCACAACUCUAGAGUGUGUUCUCACAUAAGACUGUGAUGUGAAUGGCUCCCCCUGGAGUUGAACAGUGCACAACUCGUACAACCCUACCAGGCAGCCAAGAGUAUAACGAUUAAGAGUACAGUCCUUGGAGCCAAACAAGUGUAGGGUCUAGUUCCAGAUCUAAUCUCAGGCUAUAUAACCUGGGCAGGUUAUUUAACCUCCCUGAACCUCAAUUUCCUUAAGAGGACACGUGUAUUCCUACGGCCUAGUUCAGUGCCUGGCACACUGUGGUUCUCAAUACAUAUGCGUUAAAUGAAUGUAAAAGUGAGCUAACACCUGCCUUAUAAGGUGGUGGUGAGGUGUCAAUGAAUUAACAU